UACGGAGGGGGCAAGCGUUGUUCGGAAUUACUGGGCGUAAAGGGCGCGCAGGCGGCUGCUCAAGUCAGGGGUGAAAUCCUGGAGCUCAACUCCAGAACUGCCUUUGAUACUGAGGAUCUUGAGUUCGGGAGAGGUGAGUGGAACUGCGAGUGUAGAGGUGAAAUUCGUAGAUAUUCGCAAGAACACCAGUGGCGAAGGCGGCUCACUGGCCCGAUACUGACGCUGAGGCACGAAAGCGUGGGGAGCAAACAGG
This 253-nucleotide ribosomal RNA is filed under the name uncultured bacterium. RNAcentral's name for it is "partial 16S ribosomal RNA". It matches the Rfam family "Bacterial small subunit ribosomal RNA", at positions 524 to 776 of the family's 1533-position model. The record is from RNAcentral.